Drosophila kikkawai is the source of this 550-nucleotide long non-coding RNA. RefSeq lists it as uncharacterized. NCBI's taxonomy places the organism in Eukaryota, Metazoa, Arthropoda, Insecta, Diptera, Drosophilidae. The record is from RefSeq and is a predicted model, not a curated record.
CGACUGAAGGAUGGAAAGCGUGACGUAGACCGGCGACAGCUUGCGGCUAUGGCAACAACAACAACCGCAACAACAAGGACAAUAACACUGCACUGAGAGAAAAACAGGAAAGCAACCCCCAAGCGAGAAACUUUUCCCAGCUGGCAAUGCCGUCGUCUCUGCCGAAAGAGAGAGAAAGGUCCUGCAAAGAGAAGGACUUCUACUUCUACUUCAAUCGAAGCCAAGGGUGGCGGGAAACAUAAUCUCACCAUCGAGCAACAGGCUACCCACAUCAAACCCAAAACAAACCCGAACACAGAAGGAUGCCGUUCCCUUCGCCAAGGACAAAAGUUUGCUCAGCUAAUGGCAAGUCAGCGGAGGAGCAGAAAGAGAGAGGUGUCGGUCGAACAAACAAAUGGAAAUCAAAGAUAUUUAUGGAAGUGCAAACGAUGAUGUGAAAACUAUAAUUUGGAAAAGUUUUCCCAGGCUAUAAAUUAUUUCUUAAAUAUUUUAAACAUAGAAAAUUAUGGGGUAAUGGGUAACAUCUUAUAAAUACAAAUAUUAUGCAACA